CUAACCAUGCAGUCGGACGGUAGCACAGAGGAGCUUGCUCCUCGGGUGACGAGUGGCGGACGGGUGAGUAAUGUCUGGGAAACUGCCCGAUGGAGGGGGAUAACUACUGGAAACGGUAGCUAAUACCGCAUAACGUCGCAAGACCAAAGUGGGGGACCUCCGGGCCUCACACCAUCGGAUGUGCCCAGAUGGGAUUAGCUUGUAGGCGGGGUAACGGCCCACCUAGGCGACGAUCCCUAGCUGGUCUGAGAGGAUGACCAGCCACACUGGAACUGAGACACGGUCCAGACUCCUACGGGAGGCAGCAGUGGGGAAUAUUGCACAAUGGGCGCAAGCCUGAUGCAGCCAUGCCGCGUGUAUGAAGAAGGCCUUCGGGUUGUAAAGUACUUUCAGCGGGGAGGAAGGUGUUGAGGUUAAUAACCUCAGCAAUUGACGUUACCCGCAGAAGAAGCACCGGCUAACUCCGUGCCAGCAGCCGCGGUAAUACGGAGGGUGCAAGCGUUAAUCGGAAUUACUGGGCGUAAAGCGCACGCAGGCGGUCUGUUAAGUCAGAUGUGAAAUCCCCGGGCUUAACCUGGGAACUGCAUUUGAAACUGGCAGGCUUGAGUCUCGUAGAGGGGGGUAGAAUUCCAGGUGUAGCGGUGAAAUGCGUAGAGAUCUGGAGGAAUACCGGUGGCGAAGGCGGCCCCCUGGACGAAGACUGACGCUCAGGUGCGAAAGCGUGGGGAGCAAACAGGAU
Molecule: ribosomal RNA, 739 nt
Filed under: Pantoea stewartii subsp. indologenes
Lineage: Bacteria; Pseudomonadati; Pseudomonadota; Gammaproteobacteria; Enterobacterales; Erwiniaceae
Description: bacterial SSU rRNA
Rfam family: Bacterial small subunit ribosomal RNA
Source: RNAcentral